AAGGACAGAACGACAAGCCCCCGGAUUCCUAAGCCCCAACGAGAGGACCAUUCAGGAACCACUGAAGGCUGAGUUCACCAAGGUGAGUGCAUCCUUGCAACCUGGACAGGAGCCCAGCUCUGAGCUAACAAAC
Molecule: non-coding RNA, 133 nt
Organism: Equus caballus (horse)
Lineage: Eukaryota; Metazoa; Chordata; Mammalia; Perissodactyla; Equidae
Source: Rfam